Molecule: ribosomal RNA, 305 nt
Filed under: uncultured bacterium
Lineage: Bacteria
Description: partial 16S ribosomal RNA
Rfam family: Bacterial small subunit ribosomal RNA
Source: RNAcentral
ACAGCAGUCGCCGCGGUAAUACGUAGGUCCCGAGCGUUGUCCGGACUUAUUGGGCGUAAAGCGAGCGCAGGCGGUUAGAUAAGUCUGAAGUUAAAGGCUGUGGCUUAACCAUAGUACGCUUUGGAAACUGUUUAACUUGAGUGCAAGAGGGGAGAGUGGAAUUCCAUGUGUAGCGGUGAAAUGCGUAGAUAUAUGGAGGAACACCGGUGGCGAAAGCGGCUCUCUGGCUUGUAACUGACGCUGAGGCUCGAAAGCGUGGGGAGCAAACAGGAUUAGAUACCCGAGUAGUCCCUGUCUCUUAUACA